Molecule: transfer RNA, 76 nt
Filed under: Clostridiales bacterium
Lineage: Bacteria; Bacillati; Bacillota; Clostridia; Eubacteriales
Also listed under: 1 other name
Description: tRNA-Arg
Rfam family: tRNA
About the family: Transfer RNA (tRNA) molecules are approximately 80 nucleotides in length. Their secondary structure includes four short double-helical elements and three loops (D, anti-codon, and T loops). Further hydrogen bonds mediate the characteristic L-shaped molecular structure. tRNAs have two regions of fundamental functional importance: the anti-codon, which is responsible for specific mRNA codon recognition, and the 3' end, to which the tRNAs corresponding amino acid is attached (by aminoacyl-tRNA synthetases). tRNAs cope with the degeneracy of the genetic code in two manners: having more than one tRNA (with a specific anti-codon) for a particular amino acid; and 'wobble' base-pairing, i.e. permitting non-standard base-pairing at the 3rd anti-codon position.
Source: RNAcentral
GCGUCUUUAGCACAGCGGAUAGUGCAUCCGGCUACGAACCGGAAGGUCGAAGGUUCGAAUCCUUUAAGGCGCACCA